RNAcentral lists this unclassified non-coding RNA (299 nucleotides) under Hevea brasiliensis (rubber tree). Lineage: Eukaryota; Viridiplantae; Streptophyta; Magnoliopsida; Malpighiales; Euphorbiaceae. The record is from RNAcentral.
GGAGCUUUCUAAAAUUAUGGAUUAUUUAGGAUUAAGGUUAGAGGUAAUAUGUGAGGAUGCAAAUGAAUUUAAUUUUAGCAAACUCUGGCUUAGCUCAUUUGUGGAAGAAACCUUAAAUUUAAGCAUGGCCUCAACUCAUUUAUUGAAUGAGUCAAGAUAAGUCCUAGUACUGCUGUGCAUCCUUUCUUCAGUUAUGAUCUUUAUAGUAUUGUGCACUCCACCCAAAUAUCACACGUUCAUGCAUUAAAUCAUAUUACAAUUGGAAGCUACUUUGUAACCAUGUGAAAGUUAAUUGCAUU